UUCUAGAGAACUGAUUAGAUUUGGUGUCAGAUUUCACAGAGUUCAACUUGAACGCUUUGUUAUGCGAUGUCAGGGGUUUUGCAACGUCUCGGUUUCUCUUAUAUGGUCAUUUUCCGCAAAAUCUUUAUUUCUGCAAAUGAAACCUAAAUUCAUGUGUUUGUCUCCUGCAACAUUCAGACUGUUGAAGAACAACGAUUGAAGAACCAGACUCCGAAAAUGAGUUACUGAUCCGUGUGAAAGUUUCAGCUGUCAGUAGAGACCGCUGGAGGAACGAUUUCAAAACUUUCUGUUGCACAGUUACUUUGCGAUAAUGCAUUUGACUACCUUUCGUAAAGCCAUUUUUAAACCCACCCUGAAAAACGCCUACAACCCUGAAGUACUCUGGCGAGGACAAUGGCUGCAAAUGUGCAGACCUAAGACAUCUGCACCAAAAAACUUCGGCGAUUAUGAGAACAUAAGACGGACUUACAAUCUAAAACCCUCUGCACGAUUUAAUUUCGCUAAAGAUGUGCUCGAGCAGUGGGAGAGGAAAGAAAAGAAUGGACUGAAGUCAUCUCUUCCAGCUCUGUGGUGGGUGAAUGACAUUGGGGAGGAGGUUCGAUGGAGUUUUGAGGAGCUGGGGUUUCACUCCAGAAGACUAGCAAAUGUUCUGUGUCAGGUGUGCGGUUUGGAAAAAUGGGACCGUGUCUUCCUCAUUUUACCUCAAGUCCCGGAGUGGUGGCUGGCUAAUGUAGCAUGUCUCAGAACAGGUACUGUUCUGAUCCCCGGCACUUGUCAGCUCACGGCUCGAGAUAUCCACCACCGGCUGCAGGCCUCUGGAGCCAAGUGUGUAAUCACAGAUGAAACUGUGGCUCCACUGUUGGACACAGUGGCCUCAGAAUGCCCUUCCCUCACCAUCAAACUUCUGCUGUCCCACAGGACCAGACACGGCUGGGGCAAUCUGACAGAACUGAUGGGAAGAGUAUCAGAUGAACAUGUCUGUGUAGACACCAAGAGUGAGGAGCCCAUGACUAUCUUCUUUACCAGUGGCACGACUGGCUCACCCAAAAUGACCCAACACAGCCACUGUAGUUUCGGCCUGGGGCUCACGGUGAACGGCAGGUACUGGUUGGAUCUGACAGAGCGGGAUAUUUUAUGGAACACAUCGGAUACGGGUUGGGCCAAGUCAGCAUGGAGCAGUGUGUUUGCUCCUUGGAUUCAAGGAGCAUGUGUAUUUGUUCGCCAUAUGCCACGGUUUGACACCACUACAGUUCUCAAGACUUUGUGCAGCUAUCCCAUCACCACCUUCUGCACGGCACCAACAGCUUAUCGGAUGCUUGUACACGAGGACAGAUCCAGGUUUAAAUUCCAGGCUCUUGAGCACUGUCUGUGUGCUGGGGAACCUAUAAACCCAGAAGUGAUGUGGAAAUGGAAAGAACUCACUGGAUUAGACAUCUAUGAGGGUUAUGGACAGACUGAAACUGUCUUAAUUGCAGGCACAUUCAAAGGCAUGAAGAUCAAACCAGGGUCUUUUGGAAAGGCGGCACCAGGAUAUGAUGUUCAGGUGGUGGAUGAAGAUGGUUUCAUUGUGCCACAAGGACAAGAGGGGAACCUCGCCAUCAGAGUGAAACCACACAGACCCUUCUCUCUCUUUACAGAGUACACGGGGGAGCCAGAGCGCACAGCAGAAUGUUUCCGUGGCGAUUUCUACCUGACAGGUGACAGAGGAAUGAUGGAUGAUGACGGAUACCUGUGGUUCAUCGGCAGAACUGAUGAUGUUAUCCUCUCUGCAGGGUACCGCAUUGGCCCAUUUGAGGUGGAAAAUGCUCUGAUAGAACAUCCAGCUGUAGCAGAAUCAGCCGUGGUUAGCAGCCCUGAUCCGGUUCGAGGAGAGGUGGUAAAGGCUUUUGUAGUGCUGACAGCAGAUUUUAAAUCAAGACACCAUGAAGAACUGAUCCAGGAACUACAAACACAUGUAAAGAGUGUCACAGCUCCUUAUAAAUAUCCACGCAAGGCAGGAGUACCAGCCUUGGUCUAGAGCCCGGCCAUCAAAGUCUGCCCAAAAACGACCCACCUUCCUCAGUACAGGCACUGGUGAGCCCCAACCUGAGACCAGCUACCAGGCUGCCUUCAGCACGGACACACUCAGACAUUCAAAUGGUGUUCUGGAGACCAGCACGCACACACAGCCAAGCAGUCUGUCAGAGAGAGCACACACACAGAGGACAGAGCUCGGCAUUAAACCAGAGGAGCAGGUGUUGAAGACUAAGCUGUCACCAAACCCGUCCGCUGUCUUUCAGAGCAAAUCAAGGAUCUUCAACAUAUGAUCCAUCAAGCUGAAAGAGACGCACACACAUCUGAUUCAGCCUUUCACUAAAAGAGGAAAUCAUUUAAAAAGAAGGAAUGUCUCAAAAGACACAUGAAUGUUCAGAAACUGGAGGUAUUGGGAGACUUGGAAUGUAUAUCAUAAAUCAGGGGAAAAGAACAACUGAGAUAGAAGAGAGAAAUUUUCAGGACUGCAGGAACUUGUGUAAGAUGUAAAAUCAGUUAAAUUGUGAAAAGCAAAAUCAGUUUAACAAGAUUCUCCAAAUCAUUCCACAGAGGAAAUAAUAGAACUAAAGAAAUUUUGCUGGACAUUUACUCAAUGUAAAAUCUAUGCAAGAGAAUGUAUGUUUCAAAUGUUAAACAUCUACUGAAAGGAUAUGUUUGUAAUAAACUUCAAGUGAAAAAGUGUGUGAGAGAAAGGGUGUGUGAAAGAGUGACUGGGAAAGUAAAAAAAACAGGCCUCAAGAUUUGCUGACCUUGCCAUGUCCCUGCUCAAUGAAAAUCUGCAUGUUUCAUAAUAGUUUUAUGUUUUGUUUGAAUAUGCAAUGUUUAACAAUGAGGAAAAAUGCAAAAAUGUAAUAUGGUAACUUAGUGUGGGUGUGUAGUUACACUAUUCUUUGUAUAUAGUAAUGCUCUUCUGCUUUUCUUGCUGUGUUAAUGUCUGCCUGAGAACACUGGAUGCUUUUAAUUGCUGUUUUCCCUUUACAGACCUUAUUGUAUUUACAUUUAUACAUUAAGAUUAGUUAACUUUUACUGAAUGUUGAGGGUGAAUUACUCAAGAGGGGUAUCCCAUCGUGACCAAAUUUGGUCUUGAGGGAUAUUAAGGGAAAUAUUGAGAGCAAACACUGUUUAAAUAAAAAUUACCUUCUGCAUUGAUGAUGAUGAUUUAAUCA
RNA transcript from Myxocyprinus asiaticus (Chinese sucker), 3197 nucleotides. It is a transcript of the gene named acyl-CoA synthetase medium chain family member 3, with no coding region annotated. The transcript is spliced from 14 exons. The record is from RefSeq and is a predicted model, not a curated record. Lineage: Eukaryota; Metazoa; Chordata; Actinopteri; Cypriniformes; Catostomidae.